This is a long non-coding RNA of Gadus macrocephalus (Pacific cod), 272 nucleotides long. RefSeq lists it as uncharacterized. The record is from RefSeq and is a predicted model, not a curated record. The transcript has 2 exons. Lineage: Eukaryota; Metazoa; Chordata; Actinopteri; Gadiformes; Gadidae.
GGGGGUGUGAGCGGUGGUCGGGUGUGAGCGGGGUGUGAGCGGUGGUCGGUCGGGGUGUGAGCGGUGGUCGGUGUGAGCAUUGGUCGGGUGUGAGCCUGCAAGUGCUGCCCCUCCUGAACACAACGCUCUUCGUGCUUGUUGUCUUAACAGUUCAUUCAUUCCAACAUUGACGUAAACCCUUCACCCGAAGAUAUCUUUAUUACCAAGACCCUUUCCCCAAUCAAGAGAAACAACCACCUAAUCCAACAGGACAUUUACACCAACGGGGCAAG